GAUGAACGCUGGCGGCGUGCCUAAUACAUGCAAGUCGAGCGAACGGACGAGAAGCUUGCUUUUCUGAUGUUAGCGGCGGACGGGUGAGUAACACGUGGAUAACCUACCUAUAAGACUGGGAUAACUUCGGGAAACCGGAGCUAAUACCGGAUAAUAUUUUGAACCGCAUGGUUCAAAAGUGAAAGACGGUCUUGCUGUCACUUAUAGAUGGAUCCGCGCUGCAUUAGCUAGUUGGUAAGGUAACGGCUUACCAAGGCAACGAUGCAUAGCCGACCUGAGAGGGUGAUCGGCCACACUGGAACUGAGACACGGUCCAGACUCCUACGGGAGGCAGCAGUAGGGAAUCUUCCGCAAUGGGCGAAAGCCUGACGGAGCAACGCCGCGUGAGUGAUGAAGGUCUUCGGAUCGUAAAACUCUGUUAUUAGGGAAGAACAUAUGUGUAAGUAACUGUGCACAUCUUGACGGUACCUAAUCAGAAAGCCACGGCUAACUACGUGCCAGCAGCCGCGGUAAUACGUAGGUGGCAAGCGUUAUCCGGAAUUAUUGGGCGUAAAGCGCGCGUAGGCGGUUUUUUAAGUCUGAUGUGAAAGCCCACGGCUCAACCGUGGAGGGUCAUUGGAAACUGGAAAACUUGAGUGCAGAAGAGGAAAGUGGAAUUCCAUGUGUAGCGGUGAAAUGCGCAGAGAUAUGGAGGAACACCAGUGGCGAAGGCGACUUUCUGGUCUGUAACUGACGCUGAUGUGCGAAAGCGUGGGGAUCAAACAGGAUUAGAUACCCUGGUAGUCCACGCCGUAAACGAUGAGUGCUAAGUGUUAGGGGGUUUCCGCCCCUUAGUGCUGCAGCUAACGCAUUAAGCACUCCGCCUGGGGAGUACGACCGCAAGGUUGAAACUCAAAGGAAUUGACGGGGACCCGCACAAGCGGUGGAGCAUGUGGUUUAAUUCGAAGCAACGCGAAAAACCUUACCAAAUCUUGACAUCCUUUGACAACUCUAGAGAUAGAGCCUUCCCCUUCGGGGGACAAAGUGACAGGUGGUGCAUGGUUGUCGUCAGCUCGUGUCGUGAGAUGUUGGGUUAAGUCCCGCAACGAGCGCAACCCUUAAGCUUAGUUGCCAUCAUUAAGUUGGGCACUCUAAGUUGACUGCCGGUGACAAACCGGAGGAAGGUGGGGAUGACGUCAAAUCAUCAUGCCCCUUAUGAUUUGGGCUACACACGUGCUACAAUGGACAAUACAAAGGGCAGCGAAACCGCGAGGUCAAGCAAAUCCCAUAAAGUUGUUCUCAGUUCGGAUUGUAGUCUGCAACUCGACUACAUGAAGCUGGAAUCGCUAGUAAUCGUAGAUCAGCAUGCUACGGUGAAUACGUUCCCGGGUCU
Molecule: ribosomal RNA, 1372 nt
Filed under: uncultured bacterium
Lineage: Bacteria
Description: bacterial SSU rRNA
Rfam family: Bacterial small subunit ribosomal RNA
Source: RNAcentral